This 676-nucleotide unclassified non-coding RNA is filed under the name Hevea brasiliensis (rubber tree). Lineage: Eukaryota; Viridiplantae; Streptophyta; Magnoliopsida; Malpighiales; Euphorbiaceae. The record is from RNAcentral.
UGAGGUCAUGCAUGGAAAGCCAGAGUACACAGACCCACUUACUCAUGAGCUUAAGCAUCAUCCUGGCCAGAUUGAAGCAGCUGCUAUCAUGAAACACCUGUUAGAUGAAAGUGACUACAUGAAAGAAGCAAAAAUUCGCCAUGAGAAAGACCCGCUUACAAAGCCUAAACAGGACAGAUAUGCAAUUAGAACCUCUCCACAGUGGCUGGGUCCACAAAUUGAGGUUAUUCGGGCAGCCACUCAUUCAAUUGAGAGGGAGAUCAAUUCUGUCAACGAUAAUCCAUUGAUUGAUGUAGCUCGAGACCUUGCCCUUCAUGGAGGAAAUUUCCAAGGAACACCAAUUGGUGUUUCUAUGGACAAUCUCAGGAUUGCCAUUGCAGCAAUUGGAAAGCUCAUGUUUGCUCAGUUCUCUGAACUCGUUUGCGACUACUACAACAAUGGGUUGCCUUCCAAUUUGAGCGGAGGACCUAAUCCAAGCUUGGACUAUGGAUUAAAAGGUGCAGAAAUAGCGAUGGCCGCAUAUUGCUCAGAGCUUCAGUACUUGGCAAAUCCUGUAACUACUCAUGUUCAAAGUGCUGAACAGCACAAUCAAGAUGUGAACUCUCUAGGCUUGAUUUCGGCAAGAAAAAGCGCUGAAGCCAUUGAAAUCCUGAAGCUUAUGUCCGCGACUUUCAUG